Carassius gibelio (silver crucian carp) is the source of this 2045-nucleotide long non-coding RNA. RefSeq lists it as uncharacterized. The record is from RefSeq and is a predicted model, not a curated record. Lineage: Eukaryota; Metazoa; Chordata; Actinopteri; Cypriniformes; Cyprinidae. The transcript is spliced from 9 exons.
AUAAUAAUAAGACAUCUAGUGCAAUAAUAUUAAAAGUUAUCUGAAGACCAGCUGACCACGUCGCUACAAUGUCCCCAAUGGGACUAACUAGCGACGUCUUUUGAGUACGUGCCCACUACGUUUCUGGGAAGUUAGCCAAGAUUUUAAAAAAUGGAACUUUACCACGACGUCCUCACGUCCUCACUGCCAUAAAGUAAUGUCGCGCUGACCAAAUGACGACUAACUGGCGACGUCCUCACAACGUUCUGUGUUUGCUGGGAAGACACGGUGGUAUGUGAAAAACACUUCACACCGGACAGCUACAACCAAGGAGAUCUUAUGGAAUUUCGCAUGGGAUUUCGACGAAAAGAGUGGAUUAGGCUGGCAAAUGGAGCUGUGCCAUCGGUGCAUGCAGGUCCACCUGCAAAAUCUGGCGGGAGUGAAGAGUCUAACGUUAAUGUUAGCACUAGGAGAGAAUCUGCGCGUCGAAAAAGGGAGCUUUGCACAAUUUUGGGAGAGAGUGCUGCCAGCAAAGACGGGGGCGGUGCAACUGGCACUUCAGAUCCUGAAGAUGAUGGAGAUGGAGACAUCUCUACAGUGGACCCUGAGCCAGAAGUGGUCCAUCGUGGAUCACAGUGCAACAUAAGAUGUUUACAUCGUUCAUUAGGUGUUCAGGUAAAGCCUCAGAUGGUGGAUCUGGGGACUCAAACCGAAAGGUUUGAGCAUCGCAGAUCAACUCCACUGGCCAGUCCUGAACAAAGUGAUGAUGAAUGGUCAUUUUCUGAUAUCAUCAAUCAUUCUGGUGAUAUGUCAUGGAGUCCAGGGGAGGAGAUGUUGAGCGAGUCCUCUGAGGAGGAACCAGAAGAGCUGGAAUCUCUCACUGACCCAAAGUAAAAACCUUUUUAUUAAUGGAAACUGUUUCUGAUUGUGUAUCAAAAAAUGUCAUAGUCAGAAUUAAUGUGUGUUUUCCUUUUCUUGUUUUCAGUGCUGUUGACAAGUUCAUUGUUUGCCAGAGGCAUUUGCUGUCCUUGUUCACGGUUUGCUCUGCAUGCUGCGGGGAAACCCAGGGACACAUAAUGCACCCGGAAGGAACUUUCAUAAAAGUCAAGCAGGCCUGCGGAACUUGUGGUUAUGAGCGUUACUGGCAAAACCAAGAGAAGGUGCAUCGAAACAUGCCUGCCUGCAACCUUUUACUCAGCGGUGCCAUCCACUUCUCAGGUUGCAUGGCUACUCAGACAAUCAGGAUGCUGAAGCUGUUUGGACUGCAGUGCAUAAGUCCCGGGACUUUUUUUCUGCCAUCAGCGCUAUUACACUAUCCCUACCAUCAUGCAGGCCUGGAGGACUGAGCAGAGGGGGAUCAUCAGGGAGUUGAAGGAGACUGGGGGUGGAUUGAUCCUGUCUGAUCAGAUUCUCCUGGACACUGUGCCAAAUACGGUAGCUACUCCUUGAUUGAGGAUCGAAUUAACAAAGUUUUGGAUGUUCAGCUUGUCCAAAGCUCAGAAGUCCCAAGCAGCUCUUGGUGUGAGCUAGAGGGUCUAAAGCGGAGUAUGCAGUUCCUGAUGGACCAAGACAUGCAAGUAUCUGCUCUGAUAACAGACAGAAAUCGGCAGGUGGCCAAGUGGGUACGUGAGAAAAUGUGUUCAGAAGGAACAAGGCAUUUCUUUGACGUCUGGCAUAUUGGGAAAAGUGUACAGAAAGCACUGGAUGCUGCUGCAAAAGAGAGGGACUGUGAGGAUCUGAAGCUGUGGAGGCCAGCCAUCAUCAACCAUCUCUACUGGACCGCAGCUUCCACCCCUACAGGAGAUCCAGAUGAGAUGCAGGCAAAAUGUACAGGACAUACAUGAACACAGCACUCCUGCAUUUGCCAGCUGCGCACAUCCACCGUUGGAAGGAGAGGCAAGAAACAAGGAGUGGCUGGAACCAGGAUCACCAGCACCCACUAAACUGGAGAGUGUAGCUGCCAGGAAAGCACUGGUAAAGGAUAUUCGACAAUUGUCACAUCAGCAUCAGACAUUCUCCCUGGAGGCCUACCAUUCCCUCAUUCUGCACUUUGCUCCCAAACACAC